GAAAAUAUUUUUGGUUCCUAUUCGGUUCGGUUUGUAGUAUAAUAAUCGAACCAAUAACCCGAAAAAAACCGACAAAACCGAAGAACCAAAUAUUCUUUUACGAAAGAAAAAAAAAACAAAAAGUAACCAAAAACCUGAAAAAUCCCCAAUAUAACCGAACAUUCUACAAAGACAAAAAAUAAACCAGAAUAAUCCAAAACAAAGUACAAGUAGAAAUGCAGAAUCAUUCAAAUUUCAAAGAAUAGUAGUUCAAGAAACAUAAGUUUCAAACAUACGAUCCAAACAUAAGUUUUUGAAUCAGCGACUCAGCUUCUGGAUCGGAGAAUUUCUGGGGUGGCUGUAGAGGAUGGAUUUAACCAUCCCUCAAGGCCCGAAGAACAGACGGCCUGGCCCGCGGAACAUUACGACAGGUCGGCUUGACGGAUCGGGACGCCGACUCCUCAGCUGGACCUGAGAGUGCUUUUGGUCGACCGAGCGUCGAUUAGGCGCAUACAGCUUAACGGCUUACCGAAGCGACGUUGGCUUCUCAGCCCAACGAGUUAAAAGCCACAAAAACGACGCGAACUAGGUCACAAAAGGACACCAAGUCAACUAUAAAAGGAGAGAGGGAUGCGACGUAAAGAGGAUCUGAAAUCCCUCACACAUACUCAGCGGCUAGAUUAGGGUUUUACCUUUACUCUCUCGCCGUACUGUAUUUUUCCGGCAAAGCUCUUCGAGCUCCGGUUUCCUUUCUUUUACGCAUCUCCUUUCCUUGUAACCGAUUCAAAAUUUUUCCGACCAUCUAUAAGACGUCUUUUCUUAACCCACAUCUAAAACCAAACGUCUCACCGUUUAGUACCGUUUCCCGAUCAAGCAGUUGGCGCCCACCGUGGGGCAACUAGCAAAGUAACGUCAACAAGAUGGCGACGAGCAACGACGGCUCUUCCUCUAGAGAAGAGCGUGAAGCUCCCGAAACGAUGCCUACACCCUUUCCUUCGACUCUGGCGCCGUUACCACCCGCGUCCAUAGAAACUAUCAUGGUGCGCCUCGCACAGCAGGACGCAGCCCAGAAGGCGGCGACCGACCAAAUCGCGGCGCUCGCGAAAAUCCUAGCCCCUCUCGCAGCGAACGUGGAAGCCUCAACGGCACAGUACCGACGACAUCUGUUUAAUACAAAUCGAGUGACCGGUGCGAUGCCGGCGCAUGCUGAAGACCAAGAUAUCAACGACGGCGAUACGGCUCAAACCCCUGGAGGUCUUGACGCCCAGACCAUAAAUGAACUCGCCGCGUUAAAGCAAUCGGUGCUCGAUAUCAACUCUAAGAUCCACAAUGUAACGACGUCCGCUCCACAAAUCGAGCGUGUCCUUGCAAAAUCUCUCCGGAAGCCGUUUACUAGAAAAAAUAAUGGGGACUCGACUCCGAAAGAUGGAGAAGCUCCGUCUUCUGACCUUCGAUGGCAUUUCUGACCCUUCUGCCCACGUCACAUCCUUCAAAAUUGCGAUGCGACGCGCAAAUCUCUCCAACGGAGAGAAAGACGCCGGCUUUUGUCAGCUUGUCGUCAAAGCCCUAGAAGGGCCUGCCCUCAACUGGUUCACCAGCCUCCAGGAGAACUCCGUCAACAGCUUUUGCGACCUCUCGACGGCUUUCCUCAAGAACUAUAUCAUGUUUACUCGUCAGGAAGCCACCGCCACCGAUCUCUGGAAUCUCAGUCACGCUACCAGGCCUAGCCUCAGGGAUUUCAUGGAGAAGUUUAAAUCUGUCGUCUUGAAGGUCGACGUACCAGACCACAUAGCUGUGGAAUCGUUGAUGAACGCCCUCCAUAUCAAAUCACUGUCACUAGCCGACCUUUAUCGGCAUCCGACGAGAUCCGUGCCAGACGCUAUCAUCCGAUCCAACAACUUCAUACAUAUGGAAGAAGACACCAUGGCGAAGGCGGUAAAAGAAGCGGCGGGGAAACAAACGCCCGCCCAAACAAAACAACACCCGUUAAGAACCUCGCCAGCAUUCAGCGGGCGGAUGACCCAACCAGAAAAGGGGUUACAUGAACGUCGUGGAUGAAGAAGAGCCCUCGGGUUCCGCGGUUAACGUGCGGGAGAAGGGAUGGAAUCACUGGGACCAAGACUCCGCGCAGAAGUCAUCCGGCUCCUCCUAACCAACGAGCUCAAACGCUGGCUUAACAAGUGGUGCUCGUAUUCGCCGGCAUCGCACCGGUUGCUCGAUCUGUAUUAAACAGAUGUCGUCGGUACUGCGCCGUUGAGGCUUCCACGUUCGCAGCGAGAGGGGCUAGGAUUUUCGCGAGCGCCCCGAUUUGGUCGGUCGCCGCCUUCUGGGCUGCGUCCUGCUGCGCGAGGUGCACCAUGAUAGUUUCUAUGGACGCGGGUGGUAACGGCGCCAGAGUCGAAGGAAAGGGUGUAGGCAUCGUUUCGGGAGCUUCACGCUCUUCUCUAGAGGAAGAGCCGUCGUUGCUCGUCGCUAUCUUGUUGACGUUACUUUGCUAGUUGCCCCACGGUGGGCGCCAACUGUUUGAUCGGGAAACGGUACUAAACGGUGAGACGUUUGGUUUUAGAUGUGGGUUAAGCAAAGACGUCUUAUAGAUGGUCGGAAAAUUUUUGAAUCGGUUACAAGGAAAGGAGAUGCGUAAAAGAAAGGAAACCGGAGCUCGAAGAGCUUUGCUGGAAAAAUACAGUACGGCGAGAGAGUAAAGGUAAAACCCUAAUCUAGCCGCCAAGUAUGUGUGAGGGAUUUCGGAUCCUCUUUACGUCGCAUCCCUCUCUCCUUUUAUAGUUGACUUGGUGUCCUUUUGUGACCUAGCUCGCGUCGUUUUUGUGGCUUUUAACUCGUUGGGCUGAGAAGCCAAUGUCGCUUCGGUAAGCCGUUAAGCUGUAUGCGCCUAAUCGACGCUCGGUCGACCAAAAGCACUCUCAGGUCCAGCUGAGGAGUCGGCGUCCCGAGCCGUCAAGCCGACCUGUCGUAAUGUUCCGCGGGCCAGGCCGUCUGUUCUUCGGGCCUUGAGGGAUGGUUAAAUCCAUCCUCUACAGCCACCCCAGAAAUUCUCCGAUCCAGAACCUGAGUCGCUGAUUCUAAAAUGAAAUAUUCGUUCGGGUUAGAAGUCUCUAGUGGCGCUCUUGCGGUGUUUCUUUAAGUAUCUCUUAUUCCUUCUGGUAGUCCUUUAUCUCCCUCUCUCUGCUCUGUAUCUUCAAAAUUGCUUUGAUAUAUCAAAAUUUUACAUGUUUGUUCGUAUAGAUUUGAAGAUGAAACUGGUUAAUCUACAGAAGGAGACCAGGAAACUCAAAAAGGUAAUGAAACCAAAUUUAAUUUUUUAGGUAUUCAAAAUUUGGGGGUUUAUCUUACCGUUUUUAAGAAGAUAUUGAUCUUCUUGUGUUGUCUUUGUUGUGUUGCUAUUGAAUCUGUUGGGAAGCAUAUUCCAAUGGCCUUCGUGGAGAGAGUUAAAGAGGAUUUCCAUGGUAUGGUGGAAAGGCUACCAAUGUACACCCAACAGCAUGAACAAAGAGUUUGGAUACUUCUGGCUCUCUACCAUCAAAUUCAGAAGGUUAGAGUCAUAUAUCCAUGUCAAUCUCAGAAUUCGAAACUUAAAAUGUGUACUUUUGAUGGUUUUAAUUCUUGAUAUCCUACUGUUUACUCGCAGCAAACCAGGGGAAGAAAGGCCUGGAGGAAGCUGUUCCUGGAUCUUAGUGACUCUAAAUGCUGAGAAGGUAGUAAAUCGUUUGACUGCACAUGCCUAUAUUUCCAUAAUUUCUUGAUGUUCAUGAUUGUUGACACAUUAUAGUUAACAUGUAUGCUUUUCCUUAGAUAAUUCUUUUCUUUUUUUUUUGGGUUUGCUGUAACAAUCAAGACGUGGCUGCUUUGAGAUUUGUGAGGAAGGCGGUGAAAUCAUUUUCAGUCUUUUGCACAAUUUGUUUGAUGAUACACUACACAACUGGAACCACAGCUCCACCAACAGCCACAUCAAGAAGCAGAUGAUGGAGUGGUGUGGAGGAGAUCACACGACUUGUCAUGACUAUGGUUCUUCUUGUUCAGAUUCUUCUGCUUCUUUCUUUCCUUCCUUGUUUGAGCUCUAAUUGUUUAUGCUUUGUGUUGAUUGUAGAAGGAGGACAGAUGAGACAGAGAGAAUACAUAUGCGGUUGAUGAAUUUUGUGAUGUUGCAGGAAUUGAUGAAGCAGUUGACAAACUUUAAGAGGUAUCUUUUGGCCAAAUUACUAAGUUCAAAUUCUAGUUUUUGCUCUCAUAUUGUGUGUCUGUGUAUUUUGUUAGGUGGUGUUUUCUACUUGAAUUGGGAUGUACUACUUGGUGAAGCUCGGAGGCGAUGUGGAGGAGUUCGGUAAAGCUCGGAGGCGCGGAGGUUCAAUCACUGAAGACACGUAAUGGAAUCACCACUAGUGGUAAAUCUUAACAUCACAGCAUAUAGUUACAGAGAUCAUGAUGCUUUGAAAAGUCUUAAUUGCUUUCUUCUUUAUCUAAACCAGAAAAUGGUGAUUGUGGGAACCGAAAUUCGCACUGUCGAUUUCCGUUUAAAUUAGGAAAAUUAGGAAAACCCUAAUUUCCCAGAGGUCCCGGAUAUCUGUUAAACCACACGCUAAGCAAUCAGAAAAUGCAACUAAAGACGAAAAG
This is a long non-coding RNA of Brassica napus (rape), 4608 nucleotides long. RefSeq lists it as uncharacterized. The transcript has 3 exons. NCBI's taxonomy places the organism in Eukaryota, Viridiplantae, Streptophyta, Magnoliopsida, Brassicales, Brassicaceae. The record is from RefSeq and is a predicted model, not a curated record.